This 152-nucleotide ribosomal RNA is filed under the name uncultured archaeon. Its description in RNAcentral is "partial 16S ribosomal RNA". It matches the Rfam family "Archaeal small subunit ribosomal RNA", at positions 322 to 475 of the family's 1478-position model. The record is from RNAcentral.
UCUACGGGACGCAGCAGGCGCGAAACCUCUGCAAUAGGCGAAAGCUUGACAGGGUUACUCUGAGUGAUUUCCGUUAAGGAGAUCUUUUGGCAUCUCUAAAAAUGGUGCAGAAUAAGGGGUGGGCAAGUCUGGUGCCAGCAGCCGCGGUAAUA